RNAcentral lists this transfer RNA (77 nucleotides) under Micavibrio sp. TMED27. RNAcentral's name for it is "tRNA-Arg". It matches the Rfam family "tRNA". Rfam says of the family: Transfer RNA (tRNA) molecules are approximately 80 nucleotides in length. The record is from RNAcentral. RNAcentral also lists the same sequence under 1 other name. Lineage: Bacteria; Pseudomonadati; Bdellovibrionota; Bdellovibrionia; Bdellovibrionales; Pseudobdellovibrionaceae.
GGUCCCUUAGCUCAACCGGAUAGAGCAACUGCCUUCUAAGCAGUAGGUUGUAGGUUCGAGUCCUACAGGGAUCGCCA